RNAcentral lists this ribosomal RNA (329 nucleotides) under uncultured eukaryote. RNAcentral's name for it is "partial 18S ribosomal RNA". It matches the Rfam family "Eukaryotic small subunit ribosomal RNA", at positions 1470 to 1796 of the family's 1831-position model. The record is from RNAcentral.
CCCUUAGAUGUCCUGGGCCGCACGCGCGCUACACUGAGUGUCUGAGAUACGAGUCUGCCUGGUCCGGCAAGGUCUAGGUAAUCGCUAAAAGACACAUCAUGCUUGGGAUAGAUUAUUACAAAUAUUAAUCUUGAACGAGGAAUUCCUAGUAAGCGCAAGUCAACAGCUUGCGUUGAUUACGUCCCUGCCCUUUGUACACACCGCCCGUCGCUACUACUGAUUGGAUGUUUAAGCGAGGUUCUCGAACUGCUAGCGACUUAGCUUCGGUGAGGUCGCAGUGUGGGAAGUGAACCUAGCUUUGGUGUCUAGAGGAAGUAAAAGUCGUAACA